AUUUAGAAAAUAAAACAUACCAAAAUUUGGGGUUGGCAACAGCUUCAUUAAGAUUCUCAAUACCUGUAAAUAUUAAGAAAAAAAAAUUAUGUCACUCUCAAGAAAAGGGAUUGUGGGAAGUAUCCAGUGCUAUUCACAAGCAGCUAAACUGUAUCUUACUGCAAGCAUCCUCAAAUGGACCCUUCUUUGGCCCCCAGUGCACUGAUACCUCCCAGUAGAAGCAAAAUCAUGUGUGGACAUCUGGGGAAGAAACAUCAAAAGCAAGUUUCUGAGAACAUCUGAUGGUUUUGACUCUGUGCCCCUGAAGACCUCCUCUGGCACCACCGACAUGGAUCUUUAGAAGUGGCUUGCAUCGCCCAUUCUUUUCUUGGAGGAUGCCUUGGGAGUUCUCCUUGGUUAAUACCGGCACUUUGAUGAACUUGCCAUGUGGCCUUAUUGGAAUAUCUUUUAACUUCAGCUUCUUACUGUACUUUUUUAAGUCAAACAUUUUAACAUUCCUCCAAAAACAAAACUGUGCCAAAUAUAAGUGUGCUUUUAAAAUUAUAUGUAGAUAUAUAUUUGUAUGUUUCUUGCAUACAUUGUGCCCUCUUUUGUGAUAUAGAAAAAAAUCCCACCAAAAGUUAUGUUUUUCACAGUAAAACUAGUGACAUUAUGCACAUUUUCUCUUUUCUCUAACUAGCUAACACACUGUAAAACUGUCCUAAAGUCACUUCACUGAGAUUAACUGCUUAUCUGGGUAAGACCCAUUGCCCCGAAAGGUCUUACUGUUGAGAGAGGUAUGUGUAGAAUUGUGCUGUAAAUCUUUCUAUCUGCUUUUUGCAGCCUGCUACAAAAAUCCCUCCUAAGGAAGCUAGUACAACAACAGUUACAUCAAACAAUUUGCCUUUCUAAAGAUUUUACUGCACCAGUGAGAGGUAUUGGGCUUAGUUGCAAAAUCCUGCAUUGUAAAGCAUAACUCCUCAGCAAAAUAGGCCUGUCUUUCCUUGUCAGGAUACCUGGCUGUUCUGCAAUUGUCUCUAUUUUCAGUCCUUUUAUUUUAAAACAACAAGGAAAAAAUUUAUAUGUCUACAAACCUUUUCUGAGACUUGAAAACUCUGCUCUUUGCCUUCCUAAUGGCCCUUCAGGAAAAUGCACUGCAGUCAAGGAGUUGUUCUGCUGGUGUACCUAUCAUGACAGUAGCAUAUAUAAAGCUCCAUGGCCUAAUAAGAUUUCUCCCAUAUCAUGCAACUUGAUCAGAUUAGGAUUGUGUUCCUAAACUCUGUGAAUUGUAAUUGUUAUGGCGAUGGCUGCAAUGAUCAAGAAAAAUCUCCAGCAUAGCAAACCAAAAUCGGGGUAUUAUGUGUUUAGCAAGUUCUGCAUCACAUUCAAGAUGAGUGGAAUGGCUUUUAGAAACAUGUUCCCAACUCUGAAUUCAGAUGUCCAUUUAAACCCAUUCUCACUCUUUGUAAGGAAAUACUGAGUCUGUUCAGUAUUUCAAGCAAUUAUUCUACCCUGAUUCCACCCAGAAAAACUUGUCAUAUAGAAUAGGUCGUUCUCCCCUCCCUGCCCCAUAAGAAUCUUCUGUUUUUCUGGCUGUUUUCAAUGCCUUCUAAAGUUUAAAGAGCUUUUCCAAUUUGGCACUCUUCAGAGAUAUUGGCUGGCUGGGAAUGAUGGGGUUGUAGUUUGAUAUACUGGAAGUCAUCAGAUUAUAGAAGCUGCCUUAAAUUGAGUACUACAUGAAUUAUUUUUAAUGAAUACUUAAGGCCACAAAGGACAAUACGGGAGACAUAAAAACAAGACCUGCUGACAUGAGCUUCAACUGUAUGCUAAAUGCCUUAUGGGUGUUAGCACAAGUGAAAAUGGGCCAAGAUAAUAUGAAUGUUUUGAGUUCAGCUAUUCUGCUGUGAUUUUAUCUUGGUUUUAUUUUCUUUCAGAAUUUUUCAGAAUAACUAGCUAGAGAUUAUGUCCUCUAUUAUACUUGGGAAAGAUUAACAACUUGGGCUUCCGGAUUCAGGCAACAUCUAACAACUGGCAAUUGCCAAGUUAAAGUUGACUGAUUUUGUUGCUUUGUUUGUUUUGGCAGGUUAGAAUAACCUUCAGCAUACUGCAGUUAAACAGAAAAAUAUACAGAAACUGAGUUCCUUCUUUGACAGUAUACGUCUCUACCUGUCAACUCAGAAAUAAUUCCCACUGAAUUCAGCAGGCCUUUCUCCCACAUAAAAGGUUAAGAGACUGUAGCUUCAUCCUUUAAAUUUAAUCAUAAUAUUUAUAUUGUUUUGAAAUGGAUUUUAUUUAUUGGGAUAUAGCUAUACUAGUUCAAGAGAAAUAACCAGUAUUGGUUUAAAAUGAGACAAGCUAAAUGCUUUUACUCUAUAAAUAGCCUUUAAAUAAUAAUGCAUGAUAGAACUGAAAAAUACUAUAAUC
This is a non-coding RNA of Python bivittatus (Burmese python), 2403 nucleotides long. Lineage: Eukaryota; Metazoa; Chordata; Lepidosauria; Squamata; Pythonidae. The record is from RefSeq and is a predicted model, not a curated record.